UGAUUACGUGGUUAUCGACGCACUAAUCGAAUCGAUUGUGUUCAAUUGCAUAAAAAGUGAUUAUUCUCUCCAAUGUGUUAUGUAGUUAAAUCAUUAGUUUUUUUGGGGGGCUAAGCCCCCAGCCUCCUCUAUUUGCGCCUAUGAUGUUUGCGUUUAAUUGAAACAAAUAUUAAAAACGCUAGACAUAUGGGAAAAAUCAAAAUUGGAAUGGACGUUACUGCUUCUGAGUUUUACGUAUCAUUGGGAAGCAUGGACUAAUUUUAUUGCAUCCACUGACAUCCAGUAUGGUACUGGGCACUGGUACUUACUUCGUGGUGUGCGAAGUUGCCGAGCGACGCCCACAGGACGCUCAUCUUGAUGAGUGAUGAGUUCUGCAGAAGGCAAAACUAGCAGCGUACUGAUCGAUCAUUAUGACUGAAUUAUUUUUAACAAUGUCGCGAUUAUCGUCAUUGUCCUGUGUUUCAAUUCAGAGGUCGUGUGGUAGCAGAAAAAAGAAGUCUAACAUUUUUUUAAAAUAUAAAUGCAAAUAUAUAUAUAUAUGAAAUUUUAAGUAUUUUUUUUGUAUCCGUAGGUUUGCAGAUAUUAUUAAAUCAUUUAAAUUUAAUUUUGAGGAAUUAAUUAACCUCAAUUAGACGUAAUCUAGUAAAUACUUAAAAUUUCAUAAUAAUUCAUAAAAUUCUAGUAUGAUUGUUGAAAAAUUCAAAAAUUUUAAUCGAAACUUUGACUGGUUGCCAUUUAGUCAAUUUUGAUUUUAGAGCUAUGGUAAAAAGGACCAAAUCGACUUAAAAAAAAUCGGUCUAUCCGAAUUUGGUAUUCAAUAGACCUGUUGCCAUUUAAAAAAAUGCAAGUUGUAAUGCGCAUGCGCACACGGAAAGAUCUAAAAAAUGUAAAAAUCAUCAAGAAAUGUGUAUUUAUGUAUUCCCUAUCCCCUUCCGAAAACCGCAUAUUAAUCCGAUGUCACUGGACAGAAUUAUUUAGUGUUAUCUUUAAAAGGAAUCGCACUGUAUAAUGUAGUAUUACAUAAUAUCUUAUGAUGUCUAAAUAAUUGUAUAGUUAUAAUCAAAAAAAAUACGAAUAAUAAGGUAUUACCGAUAAACGAAUAAAAAUAAAACGAUAGCGACGGCGACGUCCGAGUGUCCGACAACUGGUAAGUCUCGUAGGCCAAAUAUUGGGAAAAACAAGACCAUUUUAUAAAUAGCUUCAAACGAAUAGACCAGUUAUAAUUACAUUUAUAAAUUUAUCAUUAUAUAAUAUAUUUUCAUUCUUCAUUCAUCAUUGAUCAUUCGUGUUCGUCUAUCGUGUUUGAGUUGACGUUUUAUUUAGUACCUACACCUAUAUAAAUUUAAUUUCGUUUUUACUAAAGAAAAAAUGUUCAGUAUUUUUAAUAUUAAAAAAAAAUCUUGUGAUCGACUAAAUGUGCCGGAACAUACGCCUUCGACUUCAAGUACAAUUGCAGAUGAAAACUAUGAAGAAAAAGAAGAAAAUACAACGGAUAAUAAUAUAAUCUGUGAUGUGCAUAUAAAUGAUGAACUUGAUUUGGGAAAUUUAAGUACAGGACCUCGUCAACCAAUAUUAAAGGAGUAUUCUAAGAAAAAAUUAGGCAAUCAAAAUCGAAGAUUUACAUCUUAUUAUUUUAGUGAGUUCAAUUGGCUUGAAUACAGUAUAAAAAAAGAUAGCGUGUUUUGUUUCCCAUGCCGUAUUUUUUCAACUGCUCGACAAACGGAAGAUACAUUUACUGUAACACGAUUUAAUAACUGGAAGAAACUUUGUUGUGGAUCAUAAGAUUCUAAGACAAAAAAUCAAAACUGAGUUUGCACGCUUCAACGAUUAACCACAUUAAUUGUAUGUCAAGAUGGUUAGAAUAUAAACGUUCUUUAAACCAAGGUAGUAUCAUCUCCAAAUUAUCAACAGUCAAUAAGGAGCACAUUGACAAAAACACCGGCAGUAUAUUAAAUGUUUUAAUUGAUAUAGUUAUAUUUCUUGGACGGCAAGGACUUCCAUUUAGGGGUCAUCGAGAAAAUGCAGAUGCUUUAAAUAAAGGUAAUUUUAAAGAGCUGUGCAUAUUGUUUUCCAAGAAAAAAUAUAUUUCUAACUCAAUUAACCAUACUAGUUGGGCCAUUCAAAACGAUUUAAUAAAUUUGUGCUUCAUAUGUGAGAGAUAAUAUUGUUUCUGAAGUUAAAAAAUGUGGCAUGUUUUCCAUUUCAUGUGAUGAAGCCAGAUCUCAUAAAGAAGAAGAGCAAAUGUCCAUCUGUAUCCGUUAUACCAACAAUUUAGAGGUGAAAGAACAUUUUUUAGGAUUUGUUGAAAUGUCAUAGUCAAACUGCUGAUGCAUUGUAUUCAUCUAUCGUCAACUUUUUACAAUUUUGUGAUCUAUCUGAUAUUCCAAUUGUUGGUCAGUCUUUUGAGGGAGCAAAUGUUAUGUCGGGUAAUAAAGGAGGUGUCCAAACUAAACUUAAACAAAUUUAUCCAUACGCUAUAUAGAUUCAUUGCAUGGCACACAAAUUAAAUUUAGUGAUUGUGGACUCAUGUAAACAUUUAAAGGUAUUUCAACAAUUAAGUCUGAUUAUUUUGUAGUACAUUUAUUCAUAUUAGAGGAAGUCUUAAAAAUUAUUCAUAUACUACCAAAUCACAUUUACAAUCAAAAUCAGCAACCUUAGGUAAUUCCAAAUGUUUAAUAGAUGGAGUAAUUACAACUUUACAACAAUGUCGCGAUUUUGAACAACAUUAUGAUAAACUUUGGAAUGAAAUGCUUGAAUUUAGUACAAAACAUGAAAUUUCUCUUGAAAUUCCUUUGCAAUCUGUAUCUAGGAAGAGAUAAUGAAAAGAGUCAUCUCAACUCAAAGAUUUUGUUUUUUUGUCAACUACUAGUGCUAGUGAUGAUCAUAUUGUAGAAAUGAAAAAAGAGUGAUGGAAAAAGAAAGCGUAUUAUUGUAUAUAUUAGAUUCAAUUAUCAAUAUUUUAAAAAUAUGAAUUUCCGAAGAAAGUCUUCAAGUUGCAUCAUUGGUAGAUAGUUAACUAAAAUUGAAUUUUGAAGUUUCUUCAUUUUUAGUUGGUCAUUAUAAGGAUUUAUUUGGAAUUGCCGAUCAGUCAUUGAAGUCUGAAAUGUCUGUUUUAAGAAACAUUUUGGGUGAAAACCCUAGUUUAGAGCAAAUUAAACAUCAUUUGGCAUUAUACAAUGGUAAAGUAUUUCCAAAUUUUUCC
Rhopalosiphum padi (bird cherry-oat aphid) is the source of this 3202-nucleotide long non-coding RNA. RefSeq lists it as uncharacterized. The record is from RefSeq and is a predicted model, not a curated record. Lineage: Eukaryota; Metazoa; Arthropoda; Insecta; Hemiptera; Aphididae. The transcript has 10 exons.